This 495-nucleotide ribosomal RNA is filed under the name uncultured bacterium. Its description in RNAcentral is "partial 16S ribosomal RNA". It matches the Rfam family "Bacterial small subunit ribosomal RNA", at positions 28 to 507 of the family's 1533-position model. The record is from RNAcentral.
GACGAACGCUGGCGGCGUGCCUAAUACAUGCAAGUAGAACGCUGAAGGAGGAGCUUGCUUCUCUGGAUGAGUUGCGAACGGGUGAGUAACGCGUAGGUAACCUGCCUGGUAGUGGGGGAUAACUAUUGGAAACGAUAGCUAAUACCGCAUAAUAGCAGUUGUUGCAUGAUAACUGUUUGAAAGGUGCAAUUGCACCGCUACCAGAUGGACCUGCGUUGUAUUAGCUAGUUGGUGGGGUAACGGCUCACCAAGGCGACGAUACAUAGCCGACCUGAGAGGGUGAUCGGCCACACUGGGACUGAGACACGGACCAGACUACUACGGGAGGCAGCAGUAGGGAAUCUUCGGCAAUGGACGGAAGUCUGACCGAGCAACGCCGCGUGAGUGAAGAAGGUUUUCGGAUCGUAAAGCUCUGUUGUAAGAGAAGAACGAGUGUGAGAGUGGAAAGUUCACACUGUGACGGUAUCUUACCAGAAAGGGACGGCUAACUACGUG